UGGGGUAUAUUGGACAAUGGGCGAAAGCCUGAUCCAGCCAUGCCGCGUGUGUGAAGAAGGUCUUCGGAUUGUAAAGUACUUUAAGUUGGGAGGAAGGGCAGUAAGCGAAUACCUUGCUGUUUUGACGUUACCGACAGAAUAAGCACCGGCUAACUCUGUGCCAGCAGCCGCGGUAAUACAGAGGGUGCAAGCGUUAAUCGGAAUUACUGGGCGUAAAGCGUGCGUAGGCGGCUAAUUGAGUCGGAUGUGAAAUCCCCGAGCUUAACUUAGGAAUUGCAUUCGGUACUGGUUAGCUAGAGUGUGGGAGAGGAUGGUAGAAUUCCAGGUGUAGCGGUGAAAUGCGUAGAGAUCUGGAGGAAUACCGAUGGCGAAGGCAGCCAUCUGGCCUAACACUGACGCUGAGGUACGAAAGCAUGGGGAGCAAACAAG
RNAcentral lists this ribosomal RNA (429 nucleotides) under Pseudomonadota bacterium. Its description in RNAcentral is "Proteobacteria bacterium partial 16S ribosomal RNA". It matches the Rfam family "Bacterial small subunit ribosomal RNA", at positions 355 to 776 of the family's 1533-position model. The record is from RNAcentral. Lineage: Bacteria; Pseudomonadati; Pseudomonadota.